UACGUGGGGAGCAAGCGUUGUUCGGAUUUACUGGGCGUAAAGGGCGCGUAGGCGGUCAGCACAAGUCAGUUGUGAAAUCUCCGGGCUUAACUCGGAAAGGUCAACUGAUACUGUGCGACUAGAGUGCAGAAGGGGCAACUGGAAUUCUCGGUGUAGCGGUGAAAUGCGUAGAUAUCGAGAGGAACACCUGCGGCGAAGGCGGGUUGCUGGGCUGACACUGACGCUGAUGCGCGAAAGCCAGGGGAGCGAACGGG
Molecule: ribosomal RNA, 254 nt
Filed under: uncultured bacterium
Lineage: Bacteria
Description: partial 16S ribosomal RNA
Rfam family: Bacterial small subunit ribosomal RNA
Source: RNAcentral